AGUCACUGACAUUAGAUACCCCCGGUAGUCCAGGGUGUAAACGCUGCAGACUUGGUGUUGGGAACCCUUCGGGGGUGCUCAGUGCCGGAGAGAAGUUGUUAAGUCUGCUACUUGGGGAGUACGUCCGCAAGGAUGAAACUUAAAGGAAUUGGCGGGGGAGCACCGCAACGGGAGGAGCGUGCGGUUUAAUUGGAUUCAACGCCGAAAAACUCACCAGCAGCGACUGUUACAUGAAAGUCAGGUUGAUGACCUUACUAGAUUUUCAG
Molecule: ribosomal RNA, 266 nt
Filed under: uncultured archaeon
Lineage: Archaea
Description: partial 16S ribosomal RNA
Rfam family: Archaeal small subunit ribosomal RNA
Source: RNAcentral